GACGAACGCUGGCGGCGUGCUUAACACAUGCAAGUCGAACGGUGAACUCCGCUUGCGGGGGGAUCAGUGGCGAACGGGUGCGUAACACGUGGGCAACCUGCCCUCAGCUCUGGGAUAACUCCAAGAAAUUGGGGCUAAUACCGGAUAUGACCGCUGACCGCAUGGUCUGGUGGUGGAAAGAGUUAUCGGCUGGGGAUGGGCCCGCGGCCUAUCAGCUUGUUGGUGGGGUAGUGGCCUACCAAGGCGACGACGGGUAGCCGGCCUGGGAGGGUGACCGGCCACACUGGGACUGAGACGCGGCCCAGACGCCUACGGGGGGCAGGAGUGGAGAAUAUUGCGCAAAGGGCGAAAGCCUGACGCAGCGACGCCGCGUGGGGGAUGACGGCCUUCGGGUUGUAAACCUCUUUCAGCAGGGACGAAGCGAAAGUGACGGUACCUGCAGAAGAAGCACCGGCCAACUACGU
RNAcentral lists this ribosomal RNA (464 nucleotides) under uncultured bacterium. RNAcentral describes it as "partial 16S ribosomal RNA". It matches the Rfam family "Bacterial small subunit ribosomal RNA", at positions 28 to 506 of the family's 1533-position model. The record is from RNAcentral.